AGGUCUUGACAUGUUGGUUGCUUGAUGCAUGACUCGUGCUCAGUCUUCCUCCAGGAGGGCACCUGAUCCCGAUGAAGAAACGGCCCAGCAAGGUGGCCCAGCAGGUGGCCUAGCAGGUGUAUAAUGAAGAAAGAAUUAAAAUCCAAGGAGGAACAGAAGAAAAGUAUUGAAUCAAUAUUGGUGAUGUCCCAGAAUGAUUCUGGAUCUGGCUACAAUAUUAUAACUGUAAGUCAUCCUUGUUCAACGGUUACUAGGAAGAGAAGGUAAGAGGA
Molecule: non-coding RNA, 272 nt
Organism: Globicephala melas (long-finned pilot whale)
Lineage: Eukaryota; Metazoa; Chordata; Mammalia; Artiodactyla; Delphinidae
Source: RefSeq, a predicted model, not a curated record